This 63-nucleotide transfer RNA is filed under the name Bathymodiolus sp. 5 South. RNAcentral describes it as "tRNA-Cys". Lineage: Eukaryota; Metazoa; Mollusca; Bivalvia; Mytilida; Modiolidae. The record is from RNAcentral.
GCUCAAUAGUUAAACAUAUAACUGUAAAUUGCAAAUUUUCUAUUGCGUUAGGGCGCUUGGGCA